RNAcentral lists this ribosomal RNA (253 nucleotides) under uncultured bacterium. RNAcentral describes it as "partial 16S ribosomal RNA". It matches the Rfam family "Bacterial small subunit ribosomal RNA", at positions 524 to 776 of the family's 1533-position model. The record is from RNAcentral.
UACGAAGGGGGCUAGCGUUGUUCGGAAUUACUGGGCGUAAAGCGUGCGCAGGCGGCUUCUCAAGUCAGGGGUGAAAGCCCAGAGCUUAACUCUGGAAUUGCCUUUGAGACUGAGAGGCUUGAGUACGGGAGAGGUGAGUGGAAUUCCCAGUGUAGAGGUGAAAUUCGUAGAUAUUGGGAAGAACACCGGUGGCGAAGGCGGCUCUCUGGACCGACACUGACGCUGAGGCGCGAAAGCGUGGGGAGCAAACAGG